Molecule: ribosomal RNA, 394 nt
Filed under: uncultured kinetoplastid
Lineage: Eukaryota; Euglenozoa; Kinetoplastea
Description: bacterial SSU rRNA
Rfam family: Eukaryotic small subunit ribosomal RNA
Source: RNAcentral
GGUGCUGUUAACCGAAGAGGUUGACAUUUCACAUGCGACGCAUGUUCGACCGCCCGUCGUUUCACUGUGAAGAAAACAGCGUGUUCAAGGCAGCCGCUUGCGGUUGGAUGACAAAGCAUGGAUGACAAAGCAUCGACCAGUUGGUCCGUCUUUUGUCGGUUUUUACGAUCAAUUUGGUAAUUUGUUUACGAAGCCUUCCUUCGCCGUUUUACGGUGUUGGAACUUCGUCGAACACGGGUUAAUGGGGGUUGUCGGGGGAAAACGUAUCUGAGCGUGAGAGGUGAAAUUCUUAGGCCGCUCGGGGCGGACUUAUGCGAAGGCAUUUUCCAAGUAUACCUUCAUCAAUCAAGAACUAAGUGUGGAGAUCGAAGAUGAUUAGAGACCAUUGUAGUCC